ACUUCGGUACUGAUCCUAGCGGCGGACGGGUGAGUAAUGCUUAGGAAUCUGCCAUUUAGUGGGGGACAACAUUCCGAAAGGAAUGCUAAUACCGCAUACGUCCUACGGGAGAAAGCAGGGGAUCUUCGGACCUUGCGCUAAAUGAUGAGCCUAAGUCGGAUUAGCUAGUUGGUGGGGUAAAGGCCUACCAAGGCGACGAUCUGUAGCGGGUCUGAGAGGAUGAUCCGCCACACUGGGACUGAGACACGGCCCAGACUCCUACGGGAGGCAGCAGUGGGGAAUAUUGGACAAUGGGCGGAAGCCUGAUCCAGCCAUGCCGCGUGUGUGAAGAAGGCCUUUUGGUUGUAAAGCACUUUAAGCGAGGAGGAGGCUACCUGGAUUAAUACUCUGGGAUAGUGGACGUUACUCGCAGAAUAAGCACCGGCUAACUCUGUGCCAGCAGCCGCGGUAAUACAGAGGGUGCGAGCGUUAAUCGGAUUUACUGGGCGUAAAGCGUGCGUAGGCGGCUUUUUAAGUCGGAUGUGAAAUCCCCGAGCUUAACUUGGGAAUUGCAUUCGAUACUGGGAAGCUAGAGUAUGGGAGAGGAUGGUAGAAUUCCAGGUGUAGCGGUGAAAUGCGUAGAGAUCUGGAGGAAUACCGAUGGCGAAGGCAGCCAUCUGGCCUAAUACUGACGCUGAGGUACGGAAGCAUGGGGAGCAAACAGGAUUAGAUACCCUGGUAGUCCAUGCCGUAAACGA
RNAcentral lists this ribosomal RNA (737 nucleotides) under uncultured bacterium. RNAcentral describes it as "bacterial SSU rRNA". It matches the Rfam family "Bacterial small subunit ribosomal RNA", at positions 77 to 809 of the family's 1533-position model. The record is from RNAcentral.